UUGCACGCUGGCGGCAGGCCUAACACAUGCAAGUCGAACGGUAACAGGAAGAAGCUUGCUUCUUUGCUGACGAGUGGCGGACGGGUGAGUAAUGUCUGGGAAACUGCCUGAUGGAGGGGGAUAACUACUGGAAACGGUAGCUAAUACCGCAUAACGUCGCAAGACCAAAGAGGGGGACCUUCGGGCCUCUUGCCAUCGGAUGUGCCCAGAUGGGAUUAGCUAGUAGGUGGGGUAACGGCUCACCUAGGCGACGAUCCCUAGCUGGUCUGAGAGGAUGACCAGCCACACUGGAACUGAGACACGGUCCAGACUCCUACGGGAGGCAGCAGUGGGGAAUAUUGCACAAUGGGCGCAAGCCUGAUGCAGCCAUGCCGCGUGUAUGAAGAAGGCCUUCGGGUUGUAAAGUACUUUCAGCGGGGAGGAAGGGAGUAAAGUUAAUACCUUGGCUCAUUGACGUUACCCGCAGAAGAAGCACCGGCUAACUCCGUG
This 489-nucleotide ribosomal RNA is filed under the name uncultured bacterium. Its description in RNAcentral is "partial 16S ribosomal RNA". It matches the Rfam family "Bacterial small subunit ribosomal RNA", at positions 30 to 507 of the family's 1533-position model. The record is from RNAcentral.